Molecule: ribosomal RNA, 275 nt
Filed under: uncultured Ohtaekwangia sp.
Lineage: Bacteria; Pseudomonadati; Bacteroidota; Cytophagia; Cytophagales; Fulvivirgaceae
Description: partial 16S ribosomal RNA
Rfam family: Bacterial small subunit ribosomal RNA
Source: RNAcentral
CCUACGGGUGGCAGCAGUAGGGAAUAUUGGUCAAUGGAUGCAAGUCUGAACCAGCCAUGCCGCGUGCAGGAAGAAGGCCCUAUGGGUUGUAAACUGCUUUUGCCAGGGGAUAAAACAGUUCUGCGGAACAAAUUGAAGGUACCUGGUGAAUAAGCCACGGCUAACUACGUGCCAGCAGCCGCGGUAAUACGUAGGUGGCAAGCGUUGUCCGGAUUUAUUGGGUUUAAAGGGUGCGUAGGCGGCCUUAUAAGUCAGUGCUGAAAUAUCCCGGCUUA